RNAcentral lists this ribosomal RNA (254 nucleotides) under uncultured bacterium. RNAcentral describes it as "partial 16S ribosomal RNA". It matches the Rfam family "Bacterial small subunit ribosomal RNA", at positions 524 to 776 of the family's 1533-position model. The record is from RNAcentral.
GACAGAGGGUGCAAACGUUGCUCGGAAUUACUGGGCGUAAAGCGCGUGUAGGCUGACCGGAAAGUCGGGCGUGAAAUCCCUGGGCUCAACCCAGGAACUGCACAGGAAACUGCUUGACUUGAGUUCGGGAGAGGGAAGCGGAAUUCCGGGUGUAGCGGUGAAAUGCGUAGAUAUCCGGAGGAACACCGGUGGCGAAGGCGGCUUCCUGGACCGAUCACUGACGCUGAGGCGCGAAAGCUAGGGGAGCAAACGGG